Molecule: ribosomal RNA, 835 nt
Filed under: uncultured archaeon
Lineage: Archaea
Description: bacterial SSU rRNA
Rfam family: Archaeal small subunit ribosomal RNA
Source: RNAcentral
ACUGCUCAGUAACACGUGGACAAUCUGCCCUUGGGUCUGGGAUAACUCCGGGAAACUGGAGAUAAUACCAGAUAGGUCAUAGAUGCUGGAAUGCUCUAUGGCCCAAAGCUCCGGCGCCCAAGGAUGAGUCUGCGGCCUAUCAGGUUGUAGUGGGCGUAAUGGACCCACUAGCCUACGACGGGUACGGGUUGUGAGAGCAAGAGCCCGGAGAUGGAUUCUGAGACAUGAAUCCAGGCCCUACGGGGCGCAGCAGGCGCGAAACCUUUACAAUGCGCGCAAGCGCGAUAAGGGGACCUCGAGUGUUCCUACCUAGUAGGAACUGUCCAGUUGUCUAAAAAACAACUGUUAGCAAGAGCCGGGCAAGACCGGUGCCAGCCGCCGCGGUAACACCGGCGGCUCGAGUGGUGACCGCUUUUAUUGGGUCUAAAGGGUCUGUAGCCGGUCUAACAAGUUCUUUGGAAAAUCUGGUCGCUUAACGAUCAGGCUGCUAGGGGAUACUGUUAGACUUGGGACCGGGAGAGGCUAGAGGUACUUUAGGGGUAGGGGUGAAAUCCUGUGAUCCUUAAAGGACCACCAGUGGCGAAGGCGUCUAGCUAGAACGGAUCCGACGGUGAGGGACGAAAGCUGGGGGCACGAACCGGAUUAGAUACCCGGGUAGUCCCAGCCGUAAACGAUGCGAGCUAGGUGUCAGUUUUACUGCGAGUAAAAUUGGUGCCGUAGGGAAGCCGUGAAGCUCGCCACCUGGGAAGUACGGCCGCAAGGCUGAAACUUAAAGGAAUUGGCGGGGGAGCACUACAACGGGUGGAGCCUGCGGUUUAAUUGGAUUCAACGCCGG